This is a small nuclear RNA of Ailuropoda melanoleuca (giant panda), 59 nucleotides long. Its record names the gene U7. It matches the Rfam family "U7 small nuclear RNA". Rfam says of the family: Animal histone pre-mRNAs are spliced by a different mechanism than nuclear pre-mRNAs and self-splicing introns. This processing involves the U7 snRNP, which contains only one RNA species: U7. The 5' end of U7 RNA is thought to base-pair to a conserved spacer element downstream of the cleavage site in histone pre-mRNA. Lineage: Eukaryota; Metazoa; Chordata; Mammalia; Carnivora; Ursidae. The record is from Ensembl.
AAGUUUUAUUUCUCUUUUACUUUUUUUUAAGUAGGCUCCAUGCCCAGCAUGGAGCCCAA